Molecule: ribosomal RNA, 459 nt
Filed under: Pseudonereis variegata
Lineage: Eukaryota; Metazoa; Annelida; Polychaeta; Phyllodocida; Nereididae
Description: partial 16S ribosomal RNA
Rfam family: Bacterial large subunit ribosomal RNA
Source: RNAcentral
CGCCUAUUGCAAAUAUAAUAGGUCCAUCCUGCCCAGUGAUAAUUUCAACGGCCGCGGUAUCCUGACCGUGCAAAGGUAGCAUAAUCAUUUGCCUUUUAAUUGAAGGCUAGUAUGAAUGGAUAAACAAGAAUAAAGCUGUCUCGUUUAGGUCCCUAAAAACUGAUUUCCAGGUGCAGAAGCCUGGGUUAUUAUAAAGGACAAGAAGACCCUAUAGAGCUUUACUAGUUCAAGCUGUAUUACUUACAUACUAGUUUGGUUGGGACAACCUAAAAACAUUUAAACCUUUUUAUUAUUAAACUUUACCCAAUUAUGUAAUAGAAUCAGCUACCUUAGGGAUAACAGGCUAAUCCCGCUAGAGAGACCACAUUGACAGUGGGGGUUGGCACCUCGAUGUUGGCUUAGCGUAACCGUUAAGCGCAGCCGCUUAAUAGAGUUGGUUUGUUCAACCAUUAAAUCGCU